This 406-nucleotide ribosomal RNA is filed under the name uncultured bacterium. RNAcentral describes it as "partial 16S ribosomal RNA". It matches the Rfam family "Bacterial small subunit ribosomal RNA", at positions 29 to 526 of the family's 1533-position model. The record is from RNAcentral.
AUUGAACGCUGGCGGCAGGCUUAACACAUGCAAGUCGAGCGAGCGGCGGACGGGUGAGUCAUGUCUGGGCAACUGCCUGAUGGAGGGGGAUAACUACUGGAAACGGUAGCUAAUACCGCAUACCAUCAGAUGUGCCCUGAUGGGAUUAGCUAGUAGGUGGGGUCAUGGCUCACCUAGGCGACGAUCCAUACCUGGUCUGAGAGGAUGACAAGCCACACUGGAACUGAGACAAGGUCCAGACGACUACGGGAGGCAGCAGUGGGGAAUAGUGCACAAUGGGCGAAAGACGGAGGCAGGCAUGCGGCGUGUGUGAAGAAGGCCUUCGGAUAGUAAAGCAAUUUAAGGGGGGAGGCGUUACUCGCAGAAGAAGCACCGGCUAACUCCGUGCCAGCAGCCGCGGUAAUUC